UACGAAGGGGGCUAGCGUUGCUCGGAAUUACUGGGCGUAAAGGGCGCGUAGGCGGAUAUUUAAGUCGGGGGUGAAAGCCCAGGGCUCAACCCUGGAAUAGCCUUCGAUACUGGAUAUCUUGAGUUCGGGAGAGGUGAGUGGAACUCCGAGUGUAGAGGUGAAAGUUCGUAGAUAUUCGGAAGAACACCAGUGGCGAAGGCGACUCACUGGCCCGAUACUGACGCUGAGGCGCGAAAGCCAGGGGAG
Molecule: ribosomal RNA, 246 nt
Filed under: uncultured bacterium
Lineage: Bacteria
Description: partial 16S ribosomal RNA
Rfam family: Bacterial small subunit ribosomal RNA
Source: RNAcentral